AUAUCAAUAAGCGGAGGAAAAAGAAACCAACAGGGAUUGCCUCAGUAACGGCGAGUGAAGCGGCAACAGCUCAAAUUUGAAAUCUGGCCCCAGGCCCGAGUUGUAAUUUGCAGAGGAUGCUUUUGGCGCGGUGCCUUCCGAGUUCCCUGGAACGGGACGCCAUAGAGGGUGAGAGCCCCGUCUGGUUGGACACCAAGCCUUUGUAAAGCUCCUUCGACGAGUCGAGUAGUUUGGGAAUGCUGCUCUAAAUGGGAGGUACAUGUCUUCUAAAGCUAAAUACCGGCCAGAGACCGAUAGCGCACAAGUAGAGUGAUCGAAAGAUGAAAAGCACUUUGGAAAGAGAGUUAAACAGCACGUGAAAUUGUUAAAAGGGAAGCGUUUAUGACCAGACGUGGGCCGGUUAAUCAUCCAGCGUUCUCGCUGGUGCACUUUGCCGGUCCAGGCCAGCAUCAGUUCGCUGCGGGGGAUAAAGGCUUUGGGAAUGUAGCUCCUCGGAGUGUUAUAGCCCUCUGCGUAAUACCCUGCGGCGGACUGAGGUUCGCGCUCUGCAAGGAUGCUGGCGUAAUGGUCAUCAACGACCCGUCUUGAAACACGGACCAAGGAGUCGUCUUCGUAUGCGAGUGUUCGGGUGUAAAACCCCUACGCGAAAUGAAAGUGAACGCAGGUGAGAGCUUCGGCGCAUCAUCGACCGAUCCUGAUGUUCUCGGAUGGAUUUGAGUAAGAGCAUACGGGGCCGGACCCGAAAGAAGGUGAACUAUGCCUGUAUAGGGUGAAGCCAGAGGAAACUCUGGUGGAGGCUCGCAGCGGUUUCUGACGUGCAAAUCGAUCGUCAAAUAAUGGGCAUGGGGCGAAAGACUAAUCGAACCUUCUAGUAGCUGGUUUCCGCCGA
Molecule: ribosomal RNA, 889 nt
Filed under: Striatibotrys eucylindrosporus
Lineage: Eukaryota; Fungi; Ascomycota; Sordariomycetes; Hypocreales; Stachybotryaceae
Description: LSU rRNA
Rfam family: Eukaryotic large subunit ribosomal RNA
Source: RNAcentral